GCUGUUGUCCAAGCUGGAGUGCAGUGGCGUGGUCUCAGCUCACUGCAACCUCCGCGUCCCAGGUUCAAGCAAUUCUCCUGCCUCAGCCUCCCAAGUAGCUGGGAUUACAGGCACCCACCCACCACACCCGGCUAAUUUUUGUACUUUUAGUAGAGACGGGGUUUCACCAUGUUGGCCAGGCUGGUCUCAAACGCCUGACCUCAUGAUCCGCCCAUCUCGGCCUCCCAAAGCACUGGGAUUACAGGCAUGAACCACCGCGUCCGCCCUCAUUUAGUUUUUUAUUUGUUUCAGGGACCUGCAGCCAAGUUUGUUACUGAUGAGCUUGCUGGGUCGUCUUGAAAAGCAGGCUUACAGGUCAGAUGCCCAUUGUGCAGACAUGGUAACAAGUUUCAAGUACGGCACAUCUCACACAUGUGCGUGAAACACCCAAUCAUCAUGCUCAUGAACUACCAGAGGAUCAUCAUUUCUAGGCUGUACAGCAGCCAUGACGCUGGCAUCUGCUUGGCUUCUGGGGAGCCCUCGGGAAACUUACAAUCAUGGCAGAAGGUGAAGGAGAAGCAGUGUCCAUUCUCCAGUAUGGUUUUGGGGGAGUAUGGCUUCCUACCUACCGCGGACCACCUGUCAACUCUGGGCUGUAACAUGAGAGAAUUGUGAACUUCUGUCUUCUUUGAGCCAUGGUUUCAUUCUCUUUUUCAGCCAUGUAGCCUGUGCUGUAACUCAGUGCCACAUUAGCAACAAGUAAAAGUCAAUGUGGGUAAAUUUGUCAUUCUUCAGGUUAGAACAUUUCUUCCUUUUAUUCUUGUGUUUUUGGCUAAAUAAACUGGGAAAUUAUAGUAGAGAGGUGUGUGGAGUCUCUUUGCUCAAUUCUAUAACCCAUCUGGAGAGGUUAUAAACUUGUAAAGAAAUCUGUGAUAUGUAAACUCAGUUUGUGAUUGUAAUGUAUAUAAUUUUUGAGUCAGGAUUUCUCUCUAAUUGGACUAUGCUUGUAAAUGUUUAGUUUAUAUGUGUUAAUGGAAUAGGGCCAUAACACAAGUAUCCUAAAUUAAAUUUAACCAGUAUUAAUGGAAUAAGUACUCAAUUAAUACUCAAAAUGUGCCAGAAAUGAUCCUACAUGGGAUACAGAGUUAUAAAAUAUGGUUCUUAUCCUUAGGGAGUUAACAUUUUGAUGAGGGAGAAAGGAGAUUCUUAAUUAUAAUUUCCCUAAAUGGCAAUUUCAAUAAGAGUAGUAUAAAUGGUGAAUUCAAUUUUAGAGGAAAAGGUGGGAUGCUUUAUGAAGCAAAUAAAAAAUAAUGCAAAGUUUACUUCUAUAUGGCUUUGGAAUGCAUCAAAUUAUCUUUCACAGGAUCACAUUGAAAUUAUUCCCUGCCCGCUGCGGGGCACAUUAAGGUGGCAGAAGGAGAGGGAUAGAAACGUUACCUUGAAGGCAGAGGGCUGCUCUAUGAGGUGUGAAAAGUUGCUAUUAGAUACUGUUGUAGUUUACCGAGUUAACUUUUUUGUUUCAAUUAUAGCUUUCCUUACCAAAGAUUUGCUAUUCUAGUACUAGUGGUAAGCCUUAAUCAACCUGAAAUUAUAUACAAAAUAAUUAGCUUAAAAUAACAAUGUUUUCUUUCCUAUUUUAUGAAGAAGAGAAAAACGAUUCUUAAUAGAAUGAUGCCUGGAUUGGUGGAAUCCUCACAUUUCCUAAAAUUCUUCAGUGCUAGAAAAGCUAAUGCCAAUCCACUUCCACUAUAGUUUCAUGUUGGUGGUGCACGGAAAUUUUUCAUUUUUGGCUUCGUCUCUAAACUCAAGUGAUUACAUUUUAUAAUAAAGAGAAAUUUAAAUUAAUAGCAACUUAAGUUCUGAGCUAUUGAACACUAAACUUAUGCUAUUUAAAAAAAAAUUUGGCUACAACUGUUUAGUCUAUACAUUCUUCCUUUUCUUGUCUGAGAUAAUUCAGGUCAAUAAUCCCAAUCAAAAAAUGUUCAUUGAGCUACUGCUAAUAUAUAAGGCAAUGUGCUAUGUAGGCCCAAGAGUUAAAGGCAGUUUCAAGCUAGUGAAUAAAUGUGCAUACUAUAUGAUGGACAUGUCAAAUCAAGUUUGAAUCAAGUCCUAUGGGUCCACCACAGAGAGAGUGAUUCAUUCUAAGUUGAUAAGUGUCCAGUAAUAUAUUCACCAUGGAUGUGGCAUUUAAAUUGGCCUUGAAUGCUGUAUUAGUUUCAUACGGCUGACAUAACAAAGUACCACAAACUUGAUGGCUUAAAGCAACAGAAAUUUAUUCUCUCAUUUUUCCCGAAGCUACGUGUCUGAAAUCAAGGUGUCAUCAAGGCCAUACUCCCUCUAAAGUCUUGAGGACAGGAUCUUUCCUUGCCUCCUUCAACUUCUGGUUGCCCAAGGCAUCCCUUGGCUGUGACAGUAUCACCACAGUCUCCGUCUCUAUCUUCCC
Molecule: long non-coding RNA, 2422 nt
Organism: Gorilla gorilla gorilla (western lowland gorilla)
Lineage: Eukaryota; Metazoa; Chordata; Mammalia; Primates; Hominidae
Exons: 4
Source: RefSeq, a predicted model, not a curated record